GAUGAAGAACGCAGCAAAAUGCGAUAAGUAAUGUGAAUUGCAGAAUUCAGUGAAUCAUCGAAUCUUUGAACGCACAUUGCGCCCGCCAGUAUUCUGGCGGGCAUGCCUGUCUGAGCGUCAUUUCAACCCUCAUGCCCCUAGGGCGUGGUGUUGGGGAUCGGCCAAAGCCCGCGAGGGACGGCCGGCCCCUAAAUCUAGUGGCGGACCCGUCGUGGCCUCCUCUGCGAAGUAGUGAUAUUCCGCAUCGGAGAGCGACGAGCCCCUGCCGUUAAACCCCCAACUUUCCAAGGUUGACCUCAGAUCAGGUAGGAAUACCCGCUGAACUUAAGCAUAUCAAUAAGGGAGGA
Molecule: unclassified non-coding RNA, 347 nt
Filed under: soil metagenome
Description: partial contains 5.8S ribosomal RNA, internal transcribed spacer 2, and large subunit ribosomal RNA
Rfam family: 5.8S ribosomal RNA (bases 1-120)
Source: RNAcentral